RNAcentral lists this ribosomal RNA (770 nucleotides) under Pseudoparasitus sp. APGD-2010. Its description in RNAcentral is "eukaryotic LSU rRNA". It matches the Rfam family "Eukaryotic large subunit ribosomal RNA", at positions 156 to 787 of the family's 3401-position model. The record is from RNAcentral. Lineage: Eukaryota; Metazoa; Arthropoda; Arachnida; Mesostigmata; Laelapidae.
GUGUUUCGUGUUCAGCAGAGGCAUAGCUUAAUUAUUAUUGAGUGAGUGCUCAAAGAAGGUGAAAAGCCUGUGUGGUUGUGCUAACCUGCUGAACCGUGACACUGAAGAGUCUAGUUGUUUGAGAGUACAACUUAAAGCUGGUGGUAAAUUUCAUCAAAGGCUAAAUAUAUGAGGGGACUAAUAGCGAACAAGUACCAUGAGGGAAAGUUGAAAAGAACUCUGACGAGAGAGUUCAACAGUACGUGAAACCAUAUUGAGUAAAACAGAUAACUGUGUUGUUAUGUGGUGUGCCUAUCAACAGUCUAUUUGGUGUUGUGAUGCCAUGAGUGUAGGUUGUCUAUUCAGCUGAUCGCUCGUGGGUAGCAUAGCCAGAGAUUCUGUGCACUAGUGCACACUCAAUCAUUGAGAAACUAUGCUGCUGCGGCAUCGGCUUGCAUCAGUCCGUACCUAGUACACAGUUGCAUGCUGGGCGUCAGCUGGCUGGCGUAGUUUAGCUGUGUGACAGCUGUGGGUUGCGUUUGCCAAAGGUAGCUGCCGUAUCUGCGAAUCGGUUGAUUCCUUUUUGCGGUGGGCACGUUGCCGUAGGUAAGCGACUCGCCAUCAAUGGUUAACAUUAGUUAUUUGACCCGUCUUGAAACACGGACCAAGGAGUUCAAAUGGCACGCGAGUCAUUGGGUUCAACACCCGAAGGCGAAGUGAAAUGCAAACGUAUUGUUAUUUGUGGUUGUUCCAUGAUUAAGCGAUAAGCUACUCAUGCUUUCUGGCAUUUG